RNAcentral lists this ribosomal RNA (388 nucleotides) under uncultured bacterium. Its description in RNAcentral is "bacterial SSU rRNA". It matches the Rfam family "Bacterial small subunit ribosomal RNA", at positions 28 to 416 of the family's 1533-position model. The record is from RNAcentral.
GUUGAACGCUGGCGGAAUGCUUUACACAUGCAAGUCGGGCGGCAGCGCGGGGGCAACCCUGGCGGCGAGCGGCGAACGGGUGAGUAAUACAUCGGAACGUGUCCUUGAGUGGGGGAUAGCUCGGCGAAAGCCGGAUUAAUACCGCAUAAGCUCUGAGGAGGAAAGCGGGGGACUGGUAACGGCCUCGCGCUGUUGGAGCGGCCGAUGUCGGAUUAGCUAGUUGGUGGGGUAAAGGCCCACCAAGGCGACGAUCCGUAGCUGGUCUGAGAGGAUGAUCAGCCACACUGGAACUGAGACACGGUCCAGACUCCUACGGGAGGCAGCAGUGGGGAAUUUUGGACAAUGGGGGCAACCCUGAUCCAGCCAUUCCGCGUGAGUGAAGAAGGCC